CAGGCACACCUCGGGAGAGUGACGUGGAAAAGUAGAGAUAAUGUGUGAGGUGACUGGCACAGAGCAGGUGUUCGGCCAAUAGCCGUUACAAUGAAGAUGAAAAGGCGGGGCACAGAUAGAGCAAGAGGGGACAGGGAAGCUGCUGACACCCCCGCCCCCCCACCCCGCGGAAAGCUACGGAUGUGCUAAACCACCAGGCAAAAGGGUCGUCACCAAGGUCACCCUUCACCCAGGCCCCAGGGAGACACCGUUUCCACCUAGCCCCAGCCCCGGGCACUCUGACAACAUGAGCAACUUGUCAAAGGACAGGGCAUGUCCACGGGACCGAUGCCAGAGCUGGCAAGGACCUUAAAGGCCAUCCGGUCAGUGCCCUAUUUUGUACUCAGGAAACUGAAACCCAGAGGGACAAAAGGCACGGCUGAAGUGCCAUGACCAGAGCCACAGCGGCAAUUCGGGUCUCGGGCCGGCCGACCCGAAGUACUCUGAGGCCCGCACACUCGGGGCGUGGCCGAGAGCUGCGGUCACACAGGCGGCCAGCACAGCACCCCACGUGGGCUCUCUGGGGGCACCCCCAUACUUAAAAGACUUUACCACGGCAGCCUCGCCAUCCCCAGGCCUGGAGGCCGAUGCUGAUUACCCUGAAGCCCAUGCCCGAUCGGACCAGCUCAAGAUAGGAUCCGGGUGUCCGUCUCCCGUGCACGCAGCGAGUAAGACUACUGACUUAGUGCACACCCACUUCCACGGCAAGCCUCCAGAAUUUUCCCUGGAAACCUGAAACAACGUCUAUCCCACUCUGCAAAAACGCUCCACCAAAGCCCCACCCCGGUCCAGCCCCUGACCUAAAGGUGCCCUCACCCACCUGAGGAAUGAACCUGGACAGCCAGCCCGCCAGCUCUGAGCUGGCGCCAGGAUCCACCCCCCUGCCGCUUCACCAGCAGGUCCCAGGACACACAGCUGUUGACACACCUCCCUGCUCCCACCAGGCCACCUUC
Molecule: long non-coding RNA, 992 nt
Organism: Prionailurus viverrinus (fishing cat)
Lineage: Eukaryota; Metazoa; Chordata; Mammalia; Carnivora; Felidae
Exons: 3
Source: RefSeq, a predicted model, not a curated record